AGCUUUGCACAGUGGCAGUAUCAUAGCCAAUGAGGUUUAUCCGAGGCGCGAUUAUUGCUAAUUAAAGUGCCAGGCAAAUCUUUUGGUGGAGAUUGAAGGUUUUCUUCUGGUAGGAGUGCUGAUUCAUUCACUCACAUCCCAGGGUACUAUUCACAGCCUUGUGCAAGG
Molecule: small nuclear RNA, 168 nt
Filed under: Canis lupus familiaris (dog)
Lineage: Eukaryota; Metazoa; Chordata; Mammalia; Carnivora; Canidae
Description: U4 spliceosomal RNA (ENSCAFG00040011669.1)
Rfam family: U4 spliceosomal RNA (bases 1-125)
About the family: U4 small nuclear RNA (U4 snRNA) is a component of the major U2-dependent spliceosome.
Source: RNAcentral